UACGUAGGUGGCAAGCGUUGUCCGGAAUUAUUGGGCGUAAAGCGCGCGCAGGCGGUCCUUUAAGUCUGAUGUGAAAGCCCACGGCUCAACCGUGGAGGGUCAUUGGAAACUGGGGGACUUGAGUACAGAAGAGAAGAGUGGAAUUCCACGUGUAGCGGUGAAAUGCGCAGAUAUCGGGAAGAACACCCGUGGCGAGGGCGGCUCUCUGGGACGGUACUGACGCUGAGACGCGAAAGCGUGGGGAGCGAACAGG
This 253-nucleotide ribosomal RNA is filed under the name uncultured bacterium. Its description in RNAcentral is "partial 16S ribosomal RNA". It matches the Rfam family "Bacterial small subunit ribosomal RNA", at positions 524 to 776 of the family's 1533-position model. The record is from RNAcentral.